Molecule: ribosomal RNA, 843 nt
Filed under: Thorsellia anophelis
Lineage: Bacteria; Pseudomonadati; Pseudomonadota; Gammaproteobacteria; Enterobacterales; Thorselliaceae
Description: bacterial SSU rRNA
Rfam family: Bacterial small subunit ribosomal RNA
Source: RNAcentral
UGAGCGAGCUACCAUGCAGUCGAGCGGUACAGGGGAGCUUGCUCCUGCUGACGAGCGGCGGACGGGUGAGUAAUGCCUGGGGAUCUGCCUUAGUGAGGGGGAUAACCACUGGAAACGGUGGCUAAUACCGCAUAAUGUCGCGAGACCAAAGUGGGGGACCUUCGGGCCUCACGCACUAGGAUGAACCCAGGUGAGAUUAGCUAGUUGGUGAGGUAAUGGCUCACCAAGGCGACGAUCUCUAGCUGGUCUGAGAGGAUGAUCAGCCACACUGGGACUGAGACACGGCCCAGACUCCUACGGGAGGCAGCAGUGGGGAAUAUUGGACAAUGGGGGCAACCCUGAUCCAGCCAUGCCGCGUGUGUGAAGAAGGCCUUCGGGUUGUAAAGCACUUUCAUUGGUGAGGAAGGAUAUAAAAAUAAUACUUUUAUGUAUUGACGUUAACCAAAGAAGAAGCACCGGCUAACUCCGUGCCAGCAGCCGCGGUAAUACGGAGGGUGCGAGCGUUAAUCGGAAUUACUGGGCGUAAAGGGCAUGCAGGCGGUUACAUAAGUCAGAUGUGAAAUCCCCGCGCUUAACGUGGGCAUUGCAUUUGAAACUAUGUAGCUAGAGUUCUGUAGAGGGGGGUAGAAUUCCAGGUGUAGCGGUGAAAUGCGUAGAGAUCUGGAGGAAUACCGAUUGCGAAGGCAGCCCCCUGGACAGUGACUGACGCUCAUAUGCGAAAGCGUGGGGAUCAAACAGGAUUAAAUACCCUGGUAGUCCACGCUGUCAACGAUGUCGAUUUGAAAGUUGUGGCUUUUAGCCGUGGCUUUCGGAGCCUACACCUUUAAUCGACCGCCUGGGGAG